AAAAGGUUUAUAGUGGCCACAGGGAUAAGGGAAAGAAGUCUUUUGUACCUGGAAUUUUUGGAUUGGCUUCUUCCUCAUGCCAAUAAGGCACUGGGACAGUUGUCCUAUCAAAAAUUCACUUGGCCUGUCACUAGAUUUAAACUGUCCUACCAAAGACUCACUUGGUUUUAUGCCCGAUGUAAAUGAAACAUUGAAAAUAGCACUUCUGUGAUUGAUACCACAUACAGUGCUCAGGAACUCCAGAGUAAUUCUGAGACCUAUGUUCUGUACAUGUUCCCUAGGUUACCAGGAUUUUGGAAGAUUUUUCCCAGUUGUUUGGUUUGCCCCAGCCCUAAUCUCCUACCUCCAUGCUUCUACAUUGAAAAGUGCUGAAUACUUCUCAAACAUUAGCACAUCCUGUAGCCACCAGAUCAGGAUUAACCAAUUUCCAAUUGGGUCUGGCCAAAGAAAAGCACUGACAAGAGACUGGAAAAUAGGAGUACAACAGAAAGACUGAUGAACUAAUUCCCUUGGCUGCUCUUUGAUCAGUGACAUUGCAAGGCAGAAGGUCAUAGCUCCCUCCAGGAAGUCCUCUCCUAAUGUUACUGUUCCCCUGGUUUGACUUAGCCCUGCCUCUCCUUGAUUUUUUUCUUUCAUUUUUGAAAUGGGAAUAGCUUCAUGCUAUUGCUAGUUCUGUUGUCCUCAUCUCUUGUGAUUUCUGUAUACUGUAUCUUGUCACAUUGUCAGACUUCUCUAACUCUGUCCAGGGUGAGCAGAUCCCCCUAACUAGGUGCCGCAGAUGUAUAAGAAAAGUAAGAAAAACAUCAAACCACAAGAGCCAAAAUUCUGUGAGGGAGGGCCUCUGGCGCACGGGGAGCCACGGGUGGGGAGCGCCGGUCUUCCGGCUGGCUAGCUUCCUGCCUCGUCGGCCCCCAGAGAGAGGGCUCCCGGCGCACGGGGAGCCAUGCGGCGGCGGGCGCUAUUGCACACUGGCCCUUAGGCUGGCCGCCACUGCUCAAUUGAGAACUAUCAUGACACAGAGAAACA
Molecule: long non-coding RNA, 1026 nt
Filed under: Chinchilla lanigera (long-tailed chinchilla)
Lineage: Eukaryota; Metazoa; Chordata; Mammalia; Rodentia; Chinchillidae
Description: lncRNA (ENSCLAG00000022629.1)
Source: RNAcentral